AACACAGACCUGUGGUUCAUUCAUCCGUGCAUAAGUAUCCCUAGGGCCACCUAAACAAGCAGCACAACCAGGACUUGCUGGUGUAUCGCACCCAGCUUCCUCAAAUAUCUGAGAGCAAGUUUUACCACCAGCUCCAGGUACUGGGAUACUAUAUAAAUCCAUCCAAACCUUUUGAGUGGCAGGGACAAUAAACGUAGGAACUUUAACCUUCUUUCCUGCAGCAAGAAAAACUUUAGCCAAGGCCAGAAAAUCCUCUGUCUUUCCCCCAGUACAAGAUCCAACGUAUACUCUAUCAAUUUUCACAUCUUUACAUUCCCUUGCUAAAGCACGGUUAUCUGGAGAAUGGGGCUUAGCUACCACAGG
RNAcentral lists this unclassified non-coding RNA (363 nucleotides) under Hevea brasiliensis (rubber tree). Lineage: Eukaryota; Viridiplantae; Streptophyta; Magnoliopsida; Malpighiales; Euphorbiaceae. The record is from RNAcentral.